This 991-nucleotide small RNA is filed under the name Oryza sativa Japonica Group (Japanese rice). RNAcentral describes it as "sRNA Os03g0284200". The record is from RNAcentral. Lineage: Eukaryota; Viridiplantae; Streptophyta; Magnoliopsida; Poales; Poaceae.
UAGUGCUAUUCCUACAGUUUCAUUUUUGGUUUGUUCUUUUGUCAAUCUUGCUUCCACUCUCUUCUUUUAAAAUUUUUUACAAGACCUGAACCAAGCCCAGACAUUCAUGUGCUAAAGGCCUGCUCGACAUUAAGAUGGUUUAUGAAUUUAUGAUAACCUCAGGGUUGUCGAUAAUAAUAGUUCCAUGACAGGAUUCCCUAUGAUUCUGUCCUCUCCAUGAAAUUAAUCAUAAUAUUACACAUAUUUGAAUUAAAAACAGCAUACAUAGAUAAUAUACUCCUAGAUUUCUGUUUUCUUUAAGAUUCCUAAACCUGUUUAAACUUCAAGAAUGGGGAGUACUGGAUGCAACACCUACUACUACUACCUGCUAGACAAUUAGAUUGCCAAUCUUGGUGGCAAUUGUCAAAAUAUCGAAUUAUGCUGAAGGAAGCAUUUUGGAAGUUACAUGAUCAAGGCCAGUAGAUCCAAUUGUUUCUCUCUUUUUUUUCAUGUUGAACUCAACCACAUCUAUUAUUUAGUUAACCUUAUUACACUAGGUAGAAGAAGAUUUGAAUAAGGUGCACUGACUGAUUUGAACAACUCGAUUAUGGUCAACUCUGACCUAAUGAUGUAGUUUGUUUUCUAACUAUCGUCUUGUUCAAAUGUUUUAAUAGUUUUGUAUUUGUACUGGUAUUGUCUUGUCAUCGAUGAGUGUUCUGCUUUUUAUUAGCAAUUAGUAAAAACUGGAUAACUCUUGAUUCAUCAUGUUUUACCUUUGUAACUCUGUUAAAUGUCAAUUGGAAAUUCUGUAAGAGAACUGACCCUUUUCACGUUGUUGCACAGUGCACAUAGUGUCAACCUGUGCACCUUGUGUCAACCAGCUACUACAAUUGGACCAUUUGAAGCCCCAAUCUUCACUUAACUGUUGAUGUCAAAAUGAUUCUAAGUUAAUAUUAAUUUGGAUAUUCCUCGUAUGCCACUGACAUCUGACAUAUAAAGGGACAUUCUGUGG